GAUGAACGCUGGCGGCGUGCCUAAUACAUGCAAGUCGAGCGAACGGACGAGAAGCUUGCUUCUCUGAUGUUAGCGGCGGACGGGUGAGUAACACGUGGAUAACCUACCUAUAAGACUGGGAUAACUUCGGGAAACCGUAGCUAAUACCGGAUAAUAUUUUGAACCGCAUGGUUCAAAAGUGAAAGACGGUCUUGCUGUCACUUAUAGAUGGAUCCGCGCUGCAUUAGCUAGUUGGUAAGGUAACGGCUUACCAAGGCAACGAUGCAUAGCCGACCUGAGAGGGUGAUCGGCCACACUGGAACUGAGACACGGUCCAGACUCCUACGGGAGGCAGCAGUAGGGAAUCUUCCGCAAUGGGCGAAAGCCUGACGGAGCAACGCCGCGUGAGUGAUGAAGGUCUUCGGAUCGUAAAACUCUGUUAUUAGUGAAGAACAUAUGUAUAAGUAACUGUGCACAUCUUGACGGUACCUAAUCAGAAAGCCACGGCUAACUACGUG
This 497-nucleotide ribosomal RNA is filed under the name uncultured bacterium. RNAcentral's name for it is "partial 16S ribosomal RNA". It matches the Rfam family "Bacterial small subunit ribosomal RNA", at positions 28 to 507 of the family's 1533-position model. The record is from RNAcentral.